UGUUGAACACAGUUGUUUAAAAAGGGGAAUGGGCGCUCCCAGGGAAGAUGUACGUGCUUAAAAUCCAGGUGCCCAGAGGUGUGGGACAAAGGCCAUCUGUGGAUGCAACAUGUAUAAGAUGCUGAAAUUCAGUGCAGAGGACUGCUACGAAACAUGGUGAACUGACUACAAGGACACUUUGGCUUUCCAUGUCAGUACAAGACAGCACUAUUCCAUCACAUAGAAGAACUUCCAUUUCACACUUGACUGAAAGUCAAAACAUGAAGUCCCCAAAUAGAUGCCUUUUUUGGAUUACAUCAGUCUGAGUGGCCAGCAUGUAUUAAAAUUGCAUGUGUCAGA
Long non-coding RNA from Vidua chalybeata, 339 nucleotides. RefSeq lists it as uncharacterized. Lineage: Eukaryota; Metazoa; Chordata; Aves; Passeriformes; Viduidae. The transcript is spliced from 2 exons. The record is from RefSeq and is a predicted model, not a curated record.